RNAcentral lists this long non-coding RNA (314 nucleotides) under Cricetulus griseus (Chinese hamster). RNAcentral describes it as "lncRNA (ENSCGRG00015038152.1)". The record is from RNAcentral. Lineage: Eukaryota; Metazoa; Chordata; Mammalia; Rodentia; Cricetidae.
AUUACACCAUGCAAAAAAGGCUGGUGUGGAGGAGAGGGCAGGUUGAGUCCAGGCUGGUCCAGGAGGAGAGGGCAGGGACAAAGGAGAAAAGCAGCCACUUCUUGGCCAAAAUAUCAGAAGAACAGUCGGAUCAAUCACACAAUCUUCCUAUUCUAACCCGAUAACCCUGUAGGACCUAUCAGGUCCAUCUGUAGAGCUGGGCAACAUCAUCCUCUCGCCAUUCUACUCCCAAGUGCAGUGGCUUAAAAGGUGAGUGCAAUGGGAAAGUGAAUAAAUGCUCUGGAACUCUCUGAUAAAAUAAUGAAGAAAUGUGG